CCUGGCUCAGGCCGAACGCUGGAGGCGUGCCUAAUACAUGCAAGUAGAACGCUGAAGGAGGAGCUUGCUUCUCUGGAUGAGUUGCGAACGGGUGAGUAACGCGUAGGUAACCUGCCUGGUAGCGGGGGAUAACUAUUGGAAACGAUAGCUAAUACCGCAUAAUAGUAGAUGUUGCAUGACAUUUGCUUAAAAGGUGCAAUUGCAUCACUACCAGAUGGACCUGCGUUGUAUUAGCUAGUUGGUGAGGUAACGGCUCACCAAGGCAACGAUACAUAGCCGACCUGAGAGGGUGAUCGGCCACACUGGGACUGUGUCACGGACAAGAAGCCUGCUG
Molecule: ribosomal RNA, 334 nt
Filed under: uncultured bacterium
Lineage: Bacteria
Description: bacterial SSU rRNA
Rfam family: Bacterial small subunit ribosomal RNA
Source: RNAcentral